AUUGAACGCUGGCGGCAGGCCUAACACAUGCAAGUCGAACGGUAACAGGAAGCAGCUUGCUGCUUUGCUGACGAGUGGCGGACGGGUGAGUAAUGUCUGGGAAACUGUCCGAUGGAGGGGGAUAACUACUGGAAACGGUAGCUAAUACCGCAUAACGUAGCAAGCCCAAAGAGGGGGACAUUAGGGCCUCUUGCCAUCGGAUGUGCCCAGAUGGGAUUAGCUAGUAGGUGGGGUAACGGCUCACCUAGGCGACGAUCCCUAGCUGGUCUGAGAGGAUGACCAGCCACACUGGAACUGAGACACGGUCCAGACUCCUACGGGAGGCAGCAGUGGGGAAUAUUGCACAAUGGGCGCAAGCCUGAUGCAGCCAUGCCGCGUGUAUGAAGAAGGCCUUCGGGUUGUAAAGUACUUUCAGCGGGGAGGAAGGGAGUAAAGUUAAUACCUUUGCUCAUUGACGUUACCCGCAGAAGAAGCACCGGCUAACUCCGUG
RNAcentral lists this ribosomal RNA (490 nucleotides) under uncultured bacterium. RNAcentral describes it as "partial 16S ribosomal RNA". It matches the Rfam family "Bacterial small subunit ribosomal RNA", at positions 30 to 507 of the family's 1533-position model. The record is from RNAcentral.